This 846-nucleotide ribosomal RNA is filed under the name uncultured bacterium. RNAcentral describes it as "bacterial SSU rRNA". It matches the Rfam family "Bacterial small subunit ribosomal RNA", at positions 60 to 912 of the family's 1533-position model. The record is from RNAcentral.
AGUCGAGGGGUAUAGUUCUUCGGGACUAGAGACCGGCGCACGGGUGCGUAACGCGUAUGCAAUCUACCUUUUACAGAGGGAUAGCCCAGAGAAAUUUGGAUUAAUACCUCAUAGUAUAUAGCCCUGGCAUCAGGAUUAUAUUAAAGUCACAACGGUAAAAGAUGAGCAUGCGUCCCAUUAGCUAGUUGGUAAGGUAAUGGCUUACCAAGGCUACGAUGGGUAGGGGUCCUGAGAGGGAGAUCCCCCACACUGGUACUGAGACACGGACCAGACUCCUACGGGAGGCAGCAGUGAGGAAUAUUGGACAAUGGGCGCAAGCCUGAUCCAGCCAUGCCGCGUGCAGGAUGACGGUCCUAUGGAUUGUAAACUGCUUUUAUACGAGAAGAAACACUCCUUCGUGAAGGAGCUUGACGGUAUCGUAAGAAUAAGGAUCGGCUAACUCCGUGCCAGCAGCCGCGGUAAUACGGAGGAUCCAAGCGUUAUCCGGAAUCAUUGGGUUUAAAGGGUCCGUAGGCGGUUUAAUAAGUCAGUGGUGAAAGCCCAUCGCUCAACGGUGGAACGGCCAUUGAUACUGUUAGACUUGAAUUAUUAGGAAGUAACUAGAAUAUGUAGUGUAGCGGUGAAAUGCUUAGAGAUUACAUGGAAUACCAAUUGCGAAGGCAGGUUACUACUAAUUGAUUGACGCUGAUGGACGAAAGCGUGGGUAGCGAACAGGAUUAGAUACCCUGGUAGUCCACGCCGUAAACGAUGGAUACUAGCUGUUGGAAGCAAUUUCAGUGGCUAAGCGAAAGUGAUAAGUAUCCCACCUGGGGAGUACGUUCGCAAGAAUGAAACUCAAAGGAAUUG